CCUACGGGGGGCAGCAGUGAGGAAUAUUGGUCAAUGGCCGCAGGGCUGAACCAGCCAAGUCGCGUGAGGGAUGACGGUCCUAUGGAUUGUAAACCUCUUUUGUCAGGGAGCAAAGGGCGCCACGUGUGGCGCUUUGCGAGUACCUGAAGAAAAAGCAUCGGCUAACUCCGUGCCAGCAGCCGCGGUAAUACGGAGGAUGCGAGCGUUAUCCGGAUUUAUUGGGGUUAAAGGGUGCGCAGGCGGAAUGUCAAGUCAGCGGUAAAAUUUCGGGGCUCAACCCCGUCGUGCCGUUGAAACUGGCGUUCUUGAGUGAGCGAGAAGUAUGCGGAAUGCGUGGUGUAGCGGUGAAAUGCAUAGAUAUCACGCAGAACUCCGAUUGCGAAGGCAGCAUACCGGCGCUCAACUGACGCUGAGGCACGAAAGCGUGGGGAUCGAACAGGAUUAGAUACCCCUGUAGUC
RNAcentral lists this ribosomal RNA (459 nucleotides) under uncultured bacterium. Its description in RNAcentral is "partial 16S ribosomal RNA". It matches the Rfam family "Bacterial small subunit ribosomal RNA", at positions 338 to 795 of the family's 1533-position model. The record is from RNAcentral.